AUUAGGGAGGAGGGUCCUGGGGAAGUCAAAGCUUCCACACCUGUUCUCAAAGCCCCUCUGAGGUAUCCCCUCCCAGAUUCCAGAUCAGGUUUGGGGCUCCCAGGAGCCCUCGCUUUCUCCCCAAUAACCUCCUCCCCUGGCUCCGGGUCCUGCCCUUUGGGCUACAUGGCACAGCCUGUUUCCCUGGCCCUGUGAAGGUCCCUCCAGAGGCUGCUCUGCUCCAAGGCACACACAGACCCCAGGCCUGGCCUCCCUGAGUUGUUCCUCCCUACCAUGGCCUCUAUCCCCUGUGCGGUCUCAUCCGGAGUAAGCCUGAAGCUCGUCUUGUGAAGCCACCAUCACAUUGGCUCUUUCAGCAAUAAGCCUAAGAAAUGUAGUCUCCUCAGGCCCACGAGGUCCUCUAGAACCCCCAGAUCUUUGUGCCAACUCGUCUUUCUCCAGCUGAAGUGCUACAGCCUCUUGGUCUAUCCAUGUAGAGCUGUGAUGGCAUCAAGAAGGAAGUGAGACGCCCCUGGGACACUCCCAGGAGGGAGCAGAGGCUCUGGGGCUCCUGGCAGGGUUGUAAACUCCAGCACUGGUCGACAAUCUCUUCACUGGAGGCAUCUGGCACCUAGAGGACCCUGUGGAAGCCAUGAGGGGUGAAGCUGCCAGCCGCCGCAGGUCCCCCUCCCCACUGCCCGUGCCCAGGCUGGCCUCUGCACAGGCAGGUUACCUUAAGACCUGGACACCCCUCCCUCUUCUGGGGUGCUGAACUGAUUCCUGGCUCUGGAGAACUCUUAUAGAAGCCACACAGCUUCUGCCAAAGUGUCCCAUGUCCACCAAGACAUGGAACACCAGGGUCAGCCUGGCUGAGAAGGCCCCAGAGCAUCUAGAGACCCUUGGGUCUAGAGACCUCCCACGAGAAAGGCUGGCAUCCUGGGGGAAGCCUGAGCCAGGGCAGCCCCAUGGGAGGGGCCUGGGACCAGACUCCAGGUCUGCAGUCCUGUGGCUAUGGGGUCCAGAGCAUAUCCCCCUGGUCUCUCUGGGCCUAACUUCCUUCAUCUGCCCAUAAGAAAAACGGAAGCAAUCCCUUGCUUCUCACAGGAGAGUGGAAGAGCUCUGGGGGUCAAACAAACAAAACAGUGGAGCCAGCCUUCCUUCCUCAUAGGGCAUCCAUGCUGUGUCUGCUCUCACCGGGCUGGUCCAGGAGACUUGAAAACACUCCUGGAAAGGUGGAGGGGCUUUCAGGAGGGGCUCUGUAGUCUCCUGCUCCCCAGAUGGAGGGAUAAGCUCCCCACAGGGUCCAGGCCCUCCCUCCUGCUCUGCCUUCCCCAUUCCCACCUAGCCCCCCACCCAAUCUGCCAGCCUGCCCCCCUGCAGACACCUCUUCCCUCCCUCCUUCCCCAGCCUGGCUCUGGGACCUGAGCCUCGGGCCAUGCACUUUCCAUUAAGGAGAUAGCAUCCCUUUGCUGAAGUCCAUUUGGGAUCCAUUUUAGUGUUAUCUAAAAAUCAAAUCUACAUGGUAAUCCUUUUAAUGUACUCCUGACUUUAGAAAAAAAUGGCUUUGCGCUCCUUCAGGAAAGGUUUUAAAGCAUUACCCAGUAAUUACUACUCACCCAUGAAAACA
RNAcentral lists this long non-coding RNA (1606 nucleotides) under Homo sapiens (human). Its description in RNAcentral is "HSALNT0361241". Lineage: Eukaryota; Metazoa; Chordata; Mammalia; Primates; Hominidae. The record is from RNAcentral.